This 59-nucleotide ribosomal RNA is filed under the name Garcinia mangostana. RNAcentral's name for it is "partial 28S ribosomal RNA". Lineage: Eukaryota; Viridiplantae; Streptophyta; Magnoliopsida; Malpighiales; Clusiaceae. The record is from RNAcentral.
AGCGACCCCAGGUUAGGUGAGACUACCCGGUGAGUUUAAGCAUAUCAAUAAGCGGAGGA